Long non-coding RNA from Lagenorhynchus albirostris (white-beaked dolphin), 1057 nucleotides. RefSeq lists it as uncharacterized. NCBI's taxonomy places the organism in Eukaryota, Metazoa, Chordata, Mammalia, Artiodactyla, Delphinidae. The transcript is spliced from 2 exons. The record is from RefSeq and is a predicted model, not a curated record.
UCCCCAGCCCCCGCCACCCCGGCGCCGGCCCCUCUCACCCUUUCAUUCUCUGCCCGGGGCCUGGCGCGGGCCGGCGAAUCCCCGGCCUCACGUAAGCGCGCUCGCCGCCCGCCCUGCCUGCGCGGCCCAGCCCGCCGCCCUACGGGAGCCCGGGGAUGUGGGCCGGGCCUGGGGCCGCCUCUGCUUACCUUUCAGCUGCUUUUUUUUUUUUCUCCUUCCCCCCUUUUCCCUCGGCUGGUCUGACAGAUCAGAGUGAGAGGCGCUGGCAAUGGACUAGGAAGCUCGGCCGCCGCUGCUACUGCUCCCCCCUGGGCUCCGGCAAGAGCCUUUCCCUGUCAAGCAAGAGGGGUGAGGAUCAUAUUUUUAUUUUGGAAACUAAAAAGUGCUCCCAGGGUCGGUGAUUAUUAAGGGGAAAUCCCUGAAUAUACUCUCCAGCCAAGAAGGCAGGGCUGCCGGAGCUGCACAAGAAGAGGCAGCAGCCUCCUACAGCACCACUACAGGCACUGCGAGGACAUAACACCAGAGAGCAGCUCCUCUGCCCUCCGAAACGACAACUUUCCUACCAUCUUGGAGGCAGAGGAAAGGGGGGCCGGGGGGAAAAGUGCACCCGCUCCCGGUAAAGUACAAAUUUCGAAUUCUCAUCUCUGGAAAAAAGUCCACACCGGCCGUCUACACCGGCGCUUGGGAGAAAAAGCGGGGAAGAAACUGGGGGUGCUUGAGAAACGUUUGCAUUUGCACCAGGGGGAAAAAUGUUUCUGCAUCUUCUGAUGGCAAGAAAUCUUUACAAGACACAGGUUUUCCGAUCUAAGUUCUGGGUCUGGUGGUCAGUUUAUAAAUUUGGACUUCAAGAGACUUCCUAGCCACUUUAUUUGUCUACUUAUUUAUACGUUUUUGUAUUGAUAUACAGAGAGAUUUAUGUUUCCUCAUGUAUAAAAAUUUGUGUUAUAUAUUCCCCUCCAAACUGAGAUUGCUGGAAGACAGUUGUAAAGGGAUGUCUUUUGUCUCCUUUUCUCAAAGCAAUGUAAAUAAAACCUAUUGACUGUCCAGAAGGGCAAGA